AGUGAACGCUGGCGGUAGGCCUAACACAUGCAAGUCGAACGGCCGCACAGUAAGAGCUUGCUCUUACGGGUGGCGAGUGGCGGACGGGUGAGGAAUACAUCGGAAUCUACUUUUUCGUGGGGGAUAACGUAGGGAAACUUACGCUAAUACCGCAUACGACCUACGGGUGAAAGCAGGGGAUCUUCGGACCUUGCGCGAUUGAAUGAGCCGAUGUCGGAUUAGCUAGUUGGCGGGGUAAAGGCCCACCAAGGCGACGAUCCGUAGCUGGUCUGAGAGGAUGAUCCGCCACACUGGAACUGAGACACGGUCCAGACUCCUACGGGAGGCAGCAGUAGGGAAUAUUGGACAAUGGGCGCAAGCCUGAUCCAGCCAUACCGCGUGAGUGAAGAAGGCCUUCGGGUUGUAAAGCCCUUUUGUUGGGAAAGAAAAGCAGCAGGUUAAUACCCCGCUGUUCUGACGGUACCCAAAGAAUAAGCACCGGCUAACUUCGUG
Molecule: ribosomal RNA, 492 nt
Filed under: uncultured bacterium
Lineage: Bacteria
Description: partial 16S ribosomal RNA
Rfam family: Bacterial small subunit ribosomal RNA
Source: RNAcentral